This 505-nucleotide ribosomal RNA is filed under the name uncultured bacterium. RNAcentral's name for it is "partial 16S ribosomal RNA". It matches the Rfam family "Bacterial small subunit ribosomal RNA", at positions 28 to 507 of the family's 1533-position model. The record is from RNAcentral.
GACGAACGCUGGCGGCGUGCCUAAUACAUGCAAGUAGAACGCACAGUUUAUACCGUAGCUUGCUACACCAUAGACUGUGAGUUGCGAACGGGUGAGUAACGCGUAGGUAACCUGCCUGGUAGCGGGGGAUAACUAUUGGAAACGAUAGCUAAUACCGCAUAAUAUUAAUUAUUGCAUGAUAAUUAAUUGAAAGGUGCAAUUGCACCACUACCAGAUGGACCUGCGUUGUAUUAGCUAGUAGGUGAGGUAACGGCUCACCUAGGCGACGAUACAUAGCCGACCGGAGUGGGUGGGCGGCCAGACUGGGACUGUGACACGGCCCAGAGUCAUACGGGAGGCAGCAGUAGGGAAUCUGCGGCAAUGGACGAAAGACUGACCGAGCAACGCCGCGGGAGUGAAGAAGGUUUUCGGAUCGUAAAGCUCUGUUGUAAGAGAAGAACGGGUGUGAGAGUGGAAAGUUCACACUGUGACGGUAUCUUACCAGAAAGGGACGGCUAACUACGUG